AGUCCUCAUGAAAGGAGCCCAAGAAGCACCCUCUACUGGUUCAUAUUUUAGGGCUUAGUAUAUGCUAUGUGCAUUAGAAGCAUUAGGAAUAGUCAGUCAUGGUUUUGAGUCUUUAUUAAUACUCAAUAACUGAUCUUUUAUUAUUUUUCUUUUACUAUUAAUGCAAUUAAUAUUUUUAUAUUUACUCCUUGCGUAUGGUGCAGUUUAUCUUUUACAAAUAUUAUAUAAAUGUUACUACAAAUUUAAACCUAUAUUACAGACACUUAUUAGAGUCUAAAAAUAUUGACAUUAUCAUCACUUACCUUUUUAUGGAAAUGAAAUAAACUUUUCAGUUAUCCAAUAUAUUAUUAUUAUUAUUAUUAUGGGGGGAUUAACCGAGGAGGGUAUCAGCGGUCUUGAUUUCCUAACAGGCUCUUGAUUUCCUAACAGGCUCGAACCAAUCGGGAUUUUAUGGUCUGGUUCCGUUCUUUAUGACUUCGGGGCAGUCCAGAGCCUUGUUUUCAGAGCCGCAAGGCGUCUUGUCAGCGACCGCCCAAGAACCAGCUCAACAAAGCAAAGCUCAAGAGGGAACUGUUUUAAAGACGAGCAUUGGCCGUUCGACGAAUUGCCUGACUGAAUUCAGGCGUUAAAUUCACGCUCACGGGUCCAGAAAGUUUCAAGAGGGCAGGGAAUAAUUGUUUGGCAAACUUCCUCAGAGCCCUAGGAUGGCGGAAGAGAAGAUGGUGUCUAGAGCUUCUUUGGUGCAACUGGAGAAGUCUGUAGCUGUUCCUGCCUCAUCACUGGUGACUGUUGGCCGGAGCUUGAGCUUGCCUCUUUCCUUUGGAGGAUAGAGUCUUUGAAUCGCGACCUUGUUUUGCACGUUUGCAUGGGGCACUGCCUACAGCUGCAUCCUCAUAGGUGCAUGUUAGGUUAAAUAUUGAUUCAGAAAUCCUUAAAUCCACAGUUGACUAUCAUCAAACAAUAAUAAGUCAAAUUCAUGGCCAUAUGAACAUCACAUUUUUAUCAGGCAUUUUGUAAUUGUUGUGGUCAAAUUAGGUGUCUGCUAACCCCUGGCUUUGGGUUAGGGUUCUGUGUUGUAUUUUUUAUCUUAAAGAAACUGUAUUAGACCGAGUAACUAUUUUCAAGAAUAGACUAGAUGACUAUGGAAAUGA
This is a non-coding RNA of Phoenix dactylifera (date palm), 1151 nucleotides long. NCBI's taxonomy places the organism in Eukaryota, Viridiplantae, Streptophyta, Magnoliopsida, Arecales, Arecaceae. The record is from RefSeq and is a predicted model, not a curated record.